AUAUUGCGCAAUGGGGGCAACCCUGACGCAGCAACGCCGCGUGAUUGAAGAAGGCCUUCGGGUUGUAACGAUCUUUAAUCAGGGACGAAAUUUGACGGUACCUGACGAAUAAGCUCCGGCUAACUACGUGCCAGCAGCCGCGGUAAUACGUAGGGAGCAAGCGUUAUCCGGAUUUACUGGGUGUAAAGGGCGAGUAGGCGGGCUGGUAAGUUGGAAGUGAAAUCCCAGGGCUUAACCCCGGAACUGCUUUCGAAACUGCUGGUCUUGAGUGAUGGAGAGGCAGGCGGAAUUCCCAGUGUAGCGGUGAAAUGCGUAGAUAUUGGGAGGAACACCAGUGGCGAAGGCGGCCUGCUGGACAUUAACUGACGCUGAGGAGCGAAAGCGUGGGGAGCAAACA
RNAcentral lists this ribosomal RNA (397 nucleotides) under uncultured bacterium. RNAcentral describes it as "bacterial SSU rRNA". It matches the Rfam family "Bacterial small subunit ribosomal RNA", at positions 361 to 774 of the family's 1533-position model. The record is from RNAcentral.